UUUUUUUUUUUUUUUCCGAGAUGGAGUUUCGCUCUUGUUGCCCAGGCUGGAGUGCAGUGGCAUGAUCUUGGCUCACUGCAACCUCCACCUCCUGGGUUUGAGUGAUUCUCUUGCCUCAGCCUCCCAAGUAGCUGGCAUUACAAGCAUGCACCACUACACGCAGCUAAUUUUUGUAUUUUUAGUAGAGACGGGGUUUCUCUAUGUCCGUUAGGCUGGUCUUGAACUCCUAACCUCAGGUGAUCCACAAGCCUCGACCUCCCAAAGUGCUGGGAUUACAGGUGUGAGCCACUGUGCCCAGCCGGAGAUGUCUUAAAUAUUAACACCCUUACAGCCUGGCCAACGUGGUGAAACUCCGUCUCUACUAAAAAUAUAAAAAAUUAGCCGGGCGUGGUGGUGCACGCCUGUAGUCCCAGCUACUCAGGAGACUGAGGCAGAAGAAUCACUUGAACCCGGGAGGCAGAGGUUGCAGUGAGCUGACAUUGUGCGACUGUACUCCAGCCUGGGUGACAGAGUGACACACUCUCUCUCUCUAUAUAUACAUAUAUAAACAACCUAUACCUUUUACAAAUCGCCUUCAAAUGCCAUUAAUUUGUUCAUUAAUUUGCUCAAAAAAACUGCUGAGCAUCUACCAUGCUAGGGAGUAAGGCUACAAAGACUACGUGUCCCAGCAGCCUCCAGACUAGUUGGGGAGCAGGUGUGGGCAGACUGUGCUGGCACCUGGGACAACGGCUGAGCCAGGUGUUCAGGAAAUGAUGGAUGAAGUGAUUAAUUCUGACAGCAGCACUCUGAUAAUCUUCCCAGAACAAGCAAGACCUCAUCUGAACCUAGAAUAUAAGCCUGGGCCCCUUCCAUCUUUGCGGUGUCAGGAGCUUGUUAGAAAUGCAGAAUGUCCUGACCUAGAACUACCAAAUCAGAACUUAUGCUGUGGCAAGUUCCCGGGUGAUCCUUAUGCGCAUUCACGUUUGAGAGGCGCUGCCUUAAAAUAGCACACUUUCUGACAAGAAUGUAAACAGAACCAAAACAUAUUUCUGUGUGGUAUCUUGGUCAAAGGCUGACCUAGUGGGCUCCAUACUAGGCCAGGCAGAAGGAACAGGAAGAUAAGGUAUAGAAAGACCGGUAGCGGCAACAAGUGAAGCGUCUUCUCUCCUGUCCUGGCCCUCACCUAGCAAUGACUGUGAUUCAGCAGGUUAGGCUGCAGGUAUGCAGUGUGCAGGGAGCAAGGACAGGCAAUGAGGCUACCCCUGUGUUCCCUCCUGCCUAGAUGUCUGCCAUGACCGGCUCAGUGUAAUGGGUGCGGCUCAGAGGAAGGGAGCGGGGGAUGGCGAAGGAUGCUUCCCAUUAUCCUCAUCUAGAGACACCACCUCUGCUGUGGACCAGAUGAGUGACCAGCCACGGGGCCUCGGAGCCCAGGGCUCUGUGUGGAGAAUUCUUGGCCUCUUCUUCUUCCUCUUGAUCUUCAACACUGGUCACAGGAGAAAGUGCAGGGAGGGUUCAGGGCAGCCUGACCCGUCAGGAAGCAGACACAUUUAGGGCCAGUGUACCUGGAGGGUUCAGGGCAGCCUGACCAUCAGGAAGCA
This is a long non-coding RNA of Macaca fascicularis (crab-eating macaque), 1577 nucleotides long. NCBI's taxonomy places the organism in Eukaryota, Metazoa, Chordata, Mammalia, Primates, Cercopithecidae. The record is from Ensembl.